GUGCACGCUGGCGGUAGGCCUAACCCAUGCCAGUCGCACGGCAGCACAGUAAGCGCUUGCUCUUACGGGUGGCGAGUGGCGGACGGGUGAGGAAUACAUCGGAAUCUACUUUUUCGUGGGGGAUCACGUAGGGAAACUUACGCUAAUACCGCAUACGACCUACGGGUGAAAGCAGGGGAUCUUCGGCCCUUGCGCGAUUGAAUGAGCCGAUGUCGGAUUAGCUAGUUGGCGGGGUAAAGGCCCACCAAGGCGACGAUCCGUAGCUGGUCUGAGAGGAUGAUCAGCCACACUGGAACUGAGACACGGUCCAGACUCCUACGGGAGGCAGCAGUGGGGAAUAUUGGACAAUGGGCGCAAGCCUGAUCCAGCCAUACCGCGUGGGUGAAGAAGGCCUUCGGGUUGUAAAGCCCUUUUGUUGGGAAAGAAAAGCAGCAGGUUAAUACCCCGCUGUUCUGACGGUACCCAAAGAAUAAGCACCGGCUAACUUCGUG
Molecule: ribosomal RNA, 491 nt
Filed under: uncultured bacterium
Lineage: Bacteria
Description: partial 16S ribosomal RNA
Rfam family: Bacterial small subunit ribosomal RNA
Source: RNAcentral